RNAcentral lists this ribosomal RNA (1381 nucleotides) under uncultured bacterium. RNAcentral's name for it is "bacterial SSU rRNA". It matches the Rfam family "Bacterial small subunit ribosomal RNA", at positions 18 to 1394 of the family's 1533-position model. The record is from RNAcentral.
CCUGGCUCAGGAUGAACGCUAGCUACAGGCUUAACACAUGCAAGUCGAGGGGCAGCAUGGUCUUAGCUUGCUAAGGCCGAUGGCGACCGGCGCACGGGUGAGUAACACGUAUCCAACCUGCCGUCUACUCUUGGACAGCCUUCUGAAAGGAAGAUUAAUACAAGAUGGCAUCAUGAGUCCGCAUGUUCACAUGAUUAAAGGUAUUCCGGUAGACGAUGGGGAUGCGUUCCAUUAGAUAGUAGGCGGGGUAACGGCCCACCUAGUCUUCGAUGGAUAGGGGUUCUGAGAGGAAGGUCCCCCACAUUGGAACUGAGACACGGUCCAAACUCCUACGGGAGGCAGCAGUGAGGAAUAUUGGUCAAUGGGCGAGAGCCUGAACCAGCCAAGUAGCGUGAAGGAUGACUGCCCUAUGGGUUGUAAACUUCUUUUAUAAAGGAAUAAAGUCGGGUAUGGAUACCCGUUUGCAUGUACUUUAUGAAUAAGGAUCGGCUAACUCCGUGCCAGCAGCCGCGGUAAUACGGAGGAUCCGAGCGUUAUCCGGAUUUAUUGGGUUUAAAGGGAGCGUAGAUGGAUGUUUAAGUCAGUUGUGAAAGUUUGCGGCUCAACCGUAAAAUUGCAGUUGAUACUGGAUAUCUUGAGUGCAGUUGAGGCAGGCGGAAUUCGUGGUGUAGCGGUGAAAUGCUUAGAUAUCACGAAGAACUCCGAUUGCGAAGGCAGCCUGCUAAGCUGCAACUGACAUUGAGGCUCGAAAGUGUGGGUAUCAAACAGGAUUAGAUACCCUGGUAGUCCACACGGUAAACGAUGAAUACUCGCUGUUUGCGAUAUACAGCAAGCGGCCAAGCGAAAGCGUUAAGUAUUCCACCUGGGGAGUACGCCGGCAACGGUGAAACUCAAAGGAAUUGACGGGGGCCCGCACAAGCGGAGGAACAUGUGGUUUAAUUCGAUGAUACGCGAGGAACCUUACCCGGGCUUAAAUUGCAGAUGAAUUACGGUGAAAGCCGUAAGCCGCAAGGCAUCUGUGAAGGUGCUGCAUGGUUGUCGUCAGCUCGUGCCGUGAGGUGUCGGCUUAAGUGCCAUAACGAGCGCAACCCUUGUUGUCAGUUACUAACAGGUUCCGCUGAGGACUCUGACAAGACUGCCAUCGUAAGAUGUGAGGAAGGUGGGGAUGACGUCAAAUCAGCACGGCCCUUACGUCCGGGGCUACACACGUGUUACAAUGGGGGGUACAGAGGGCCGCUACCACGCGAGUGGAUGCCAAUCCCAAAAACCUCUCUCAGUUCGGACUGGAGUCUGCAACCCGACUCCACGAAGCUGGAUUCGCUAGUAAUCGCGCAUCAGCCACGGCGCGGUGAAUACGUUCCCGGGCCUUGUACACACCGCC